GAAAGUGGCGCACGGGUGCGUAACGCGUAUGCAACCUACCUUUAUCAGGGGGAUAGCCCGGAGAAAUCCGGAUUAAUACCGCAUAAAAUCACAGAAUAGCAUUAUUUAAUGAUCAAACAUUUAUGGGAUAAAGAUGGGCAUGCGUGUCAUUAGCUAGUUGGCGGGGUAACGGCCCACCAAGGCGACGAUGACUAGGGGAUCUGAGAGGAUGACCCCCCACACUGGUACUGAGACACGGACCAGACUCCUACGGGAGGCAGCAGUAAGGAAUAUUGGUCAAUGGAGGCAACUCUGAACCAGCCAUGCCGCGUGCAGGAAGACUGCCCUAUGGGUUGUAAACUGCUUUUAUCCGGGAAUAAACCUCUGCUCGUGAGCAGAGCUGAAUGUACCGGAAGAAUAAGGAUCGGCUAACUCCGUGCCAGCAGCCGCGGUAAUACGGAGGAUCCAAGCGUUAUCCGGAUUUAUUGGGUUUAAAGGGUGCGUAGGCGGCCUGUUAAGUCAGGGGUGAAAGACGGUAGCUCAACUAUCGCAGUGCCCUUGAUACUGAUGGGCUUGAAUGGACUAGAGGUAGGCGGAAUGAGA
RNAcentral lists this ribosomal RNA (582 nucleotides) under Pedobacter sp. T0-YC6754. RNAcentral's name for it is "bacterial SSU rRNA". It matches the Rfam family "Bacterial small subunit ribosomal RNA", at positions 91 to 671 of the family's 1533-position model. The record is from RNAcentral. Lineage: Bacteria; Pseudomonadati; Bacteroidota; Sphingobacteriia; Sphingobacteriales; Sphingobacteriaceae.